RNAcentral lists this ribosomal RNA (752 nucleotides) under Mycobacterium sp. Its description in RNAcentral is "partial 16S ribosomal RNA". It matches the Rfam family "Bacterial small subunit ribosomal RNA", at positions 135 to 885 of the family's 1533-position model. Lineage: Bacteria; Bacillati; Actinomycetota; Actinomycetes; Mycobacteriales; Mycobacteriaceae. The record is from RNAcentral.
ACUUCGGGAUAAGCCUGGGAAACUGGGUNUAAUACCGGAUAGGACNUUUAGACGCAUGUCUUUUGGUGGAAAGCUUUUGCGGUGUGGGAUGGGCCCGCGGCCUAUCAGCUUGUUGGUGGGGUGAUGGCCUACCAAGGCGACGACGGGUAGCCGGCCUGAGAGGGUGUCCGGCCACACUGGGACUNAGAUACGGCCCANACUCCUACGGGAGGCAGCAGUGGGGAAUAUUGCACAAUGGGCGCAAGCCNGAUGCAGCGACGCCGCGUGGGGGAUGACGGCCUUCGGGUUGUAAACCUCUUUCACCAUCGACGAAGGUCCGGGUUUUCUCGGAUUGACGGUAGGUGGAGAAGAAGCACCGGCCAACUACGUGCCAGCAGCCGCGGUAAUACGUAGGGUGCGAGCGUUGUCCGGAAUUACUGGGCGUAAAGAGCUCGUAGGUGGUUUGUCGNGUUGUUNGUGAAAUNNCACGGCUUAACUGUGAGNGNGNGGGNGAUACGGGCAGACUAGAGUACUGCAGGGGAGNNNGGAAUUCCUGGUGUNGCGGNGGAAUGCGCAGAUAUCAGGAGGAANACCGGUGGCGAAGGCGGGUCUCUGGGCAGUAACUGACGCUGAGGAGCGAAAGCGUGGGGAGCGAACAGGAUUAGAUACCCUGGUAGUCCACGCCGUAAANGGUGGGNACUAGGUGUGGGUUUCCUUCCUUGGGAUCCGUGCCGUAGCUAACGCAUUAAGUACCCCCGCCUGGGGGAGUACGG